ACAUGCAAGUCGAGCGGUAAGGCCCUUCGGGGUACACGAGCGGCGAACGGGUGAGUAACACGUGAGCAACCUGCCCCUGACUCCGGGAUAAGCGGUGGAAACGCCGUCUAAUACCGGAUAUGACACACCAUCUCCUGGUGGUGUGUGGAAAGUUUUGUCGGUCAGGGAUGGGCUCGCGGCCUAUCAGCUAGUUGGUGGGGUAAAGGCCUACCAAGGCGAUUACGGGUAGCCGGCCUGAGAGGGCGACCGGCCACACUGGGACUGAGACACGGCCCAGACUCCUGCGGGAGGCAGCAGUGGGGAAUAUUGCACAAUGGGCGAAAGCCUGAUGCAGCGACGCCGCGUGGGGGAUGACGGCCUUCGGGUUGUAAACCUCUUUUACCACCAACGCAGGCCCCGGGUUCUCUCGGGGUUGACGGUAGGUGGGGAAUAAGGACCGGCUAACUA
This 447-nucleotide ribosomal RNA is filed under the name Nocardiopsis lucentensis. RNAcentral describes it as "bacterial SSU rRNA". It matches the Rfam family "Bacterial small subunit ribosomal RNA", at positions 53 to 503 of the family's 1533-position model. The record is from RNAcentral. Lineage: Bacteria; Bacillati; Actinomycetota; Actinomycetes; Streptosporangiales; Nocardiopsidaceae.